AAGUCGUAACAAGGUUUCCGUAGGUGAACCUGCGGAAGGAUCAUUACCUUUCAAUGCAGCAGAAUGGGGAUGGUUGAGUUUCUCGCCUCUCUGUUCUGCCUGUAUUCUACCCUUGUUUGUCAUAUACUAUUAUUUCCUCGGCAGGCUUGCUUGCCGAGUGAAACCAAUUAUAACCUAUUUAAUUUUCAAUCAGUGUCUGAACAAAAUUAAUAAUUACAACUUUCAACAACGGAUCUCUUGGUUCUG
RNAcentral lists this unclassified non-coding RNA (246 nucleotides) under Paraphoma sp. RNAcentral describes it as "partial internal transcribed spacer region". The stretch from base 1 to 46 matches the Rfam family "Eukaryotic small subunit ribosomal RNA", at positions 1786 to 1831 of the family's 1831-position model. The record is from RNAcentral. Lineage: Eukaryota; Fungi; Ascomycota; Dothideomycetes; Pleosporales; Phaeosphaeriaceae.